AUUGAACGCUGGCGGCAUGCCUUACACAUGCAAGUCGAACGGCAGCACGGGGGCAACCCUGGUGGCGAGUGGCGAACGGGUGAGUAACAUAUCGGAACAUACCCUAGAGUGGGGAUAACGUAGCGAAGUUACGCUAAUACCGCAUACGAUCUAAGGAUGAAAGUGGGGGAUCUUCGGACCUCAUGCUCAUGGAGUGGCCGAUAUCUGAUUAGCUAGUUGGUGAGGUAAAGGCUCACCAAGGCGACGAUCAGUAGCUGGUUUUGAGAGAACGACCAGCCACACUGGAACUGAGACACGGUCCAGACUCCUACGGGAGGCAGCAGU
Molecule: ribosomal RNA, 324 nt
Filed under: uncultured bacterium
Lineage: Bacteria
Description: bacterial SSU rRNA
Rfam family: Bacterial small subunit ribosomal RNA
Source: RNAcentral